This is a long non-coding RNA of Nicotiana tabacum (common tobacco), 880 nucleotides long. RefSeq lists it as uncharacterized. Lineage: Eukaryota; Viridiplantae; Streptophyta; Magnoliopsida; Solanales; Solanaceae. The record is from RefSeq and is a predicted model, not a curated record.
UCCACUGCUAUUAGAUUGACAAUUUUCAAACCCCCAACAUCCUUUUAUAGGAUUCAAUGUGAGUAGAAUCCACAAAUAGUUCUUGGAUAGCAAUAAAUUGGAGUUUGUACAUGUUGGAUAUGAAUUUUAUUCUUUCAAAAUCCUCCUGGACUUUGUCCCUCUAAUAUUCCAUAUAAUGGAACUAAUCAUUAAAUGAAUGAGAUUGGGGAACAAUUUGUUUGGCUUUGAUCUUUGCCCUAGUGACAGGGGAGAGACCUCCAGUAGCAUUAUUCUCUUUUUUCUUAUUUUUCUCACCUUGCCUAGGUGAUAAAUUCUCUCUCAUGAUGAGAUCCUUUGUCUGCUCUUCCACUGCAAUCUCUCCAGACUGGUAUUUCCAUGAGGUUCUUAGAGCAAAAGCAUUUAGAAGCUCUUCUUCAUCUGUAGAAUUGCACUCUUCAUAUUUGUCUUCUUCCUCCCCUUUCUCAUGUAUGUCUUCAUCGGAUUCAUCAGAUGCAUAUUCACUAGUGUUGUCUUCAUCGGACUCACCAUGUGUUGUUAUCAUUAAUGGUCCAGUUUUAUCUUUCUCCGCCUAAGAUUCUCCAUUGAUGUUUGAGGACCCCAGAGGUGUACACCAAUAGUGAUGCCCUUAUCUUUUUAGUCACAGUAUGGCUAAUAACUUCGGGGUUAGAAGAAACCAUAUUGGAGUUGUUUGUGAUAUGUGUUUCAGAAACCUUAAGAUGUGUCAUGUUAUUCACCUCUGUAUAAGUGGUUAUAGCAUUUGAACUAUCAUUUACAGUAUUUUAGGGAGAUAAGCAUGCUUCAACAUGUUUCUCACCCCACCUUGUUCUGUGCCAAAUUAUCUUCUUUAUCGUUGGACUCCAACUCCUUGGAACUACUUUUA